AGCCCUGCCCACGGGGAAGAUUUAGAUAUAUCACUAAAACCAGCACCCAAGUGAUGUGACUCUUCACCAGAGUCCUGCCCACAAGGAGGAUUGUGACAUUUCACUGGACCAGCACCCACUCAGGAAUCAAAUCCGAGUUCGUCUACAGCUGAUUCGGCAGGUACCAGGGCGUCCGCGAUGGUGGUAUUGCUCCAUAUGCCUGAGACCCUAACAAAAGCCUAAUUACAACUCAUAUGCCUGGAGCCAGGACAUGUGCAGGAUGCCAUGAUGGUCCAAGUUAUAUUGGGAUUCAGCCAAUAGAAGAUAUUUUGCCUGUCAUCCCUAAGCUUAGGACAAUAGACUCUGCCAAGAGAGGGGAUUAUUACAUAUUGCAGAGCCCAGCACCUAGGUGGAGUGACUCUCAUCUUUUUCUUCUACCCCGUAUAUAGCCAGCUUGGUGACCUACUAUUUGAGUCUAUACCCAGGCCCAGACCACAGAUGAAAUUGUGCAAUAUGUGGAACAAACACCUAAACAAUAUAUAACACCUUCCUUGGCUCUGUCUACAAAGGGCACUUUUAUAUAUCACUGGGACCAUCAACCAGGUGAUGUUGUGCCAUAUAACUGAGACCGUAUCAAAAGCCUAAUAACAAGACGUAUGUCUGGAGCCCCGAUAUGCACAGGAUGGUGAUAUAACCCUCUUCUCUGGAAUGGGCCCCACACAAAGGAAGGAUAGUGACAUAUUGCAAGCCCAGGCACACAGGCCCAGAGCACAGUUGAAAUUGUGACAUAUGUACACCAAGCAACCAAGCAAUGUAUAACACCUCAUUUGGCAAUGGAAUCGAGGGCACUUUUACAUAUCACUGAGACCAGCGCCCAGCUGAUGUGAAAUAUUGGCCUGAACCCUGCCUACAAAAGCAUUGUGGCUUUUAUCUAGCUCCAUUACAUAAGUGAUGUGACUUCCUUCUACUGCCUUGGCCCUGCACUUAUGGUGAAUCGUGACACAAAAUUGGGUAGAGCAA
Molecule: long non-coding RNA, 999 nt
Filed under: Homo sapiens (human)
Lineage: Eukaryota; Metazoa; Chordata; Mammalia; Primates; Hominidae
Description: long intergenic non-protein coding RNA 293
Source: RNAcentral